GUUAUCUAUGCCACCUAGAUGCCUGUAUAUCUCGUUAACCUUUGACCUUUGAUCUCUGGUUCAUUAGAAAUAUUUUGCCUGUCUGGCCCCACUAUAAUUCGGUGCCAUUUUUUCCGGGCUUUGCAAUUUAUGCAAUUCUACCCAAAUAGAUUAUUGUAUAAAAAUAUGAAGAAUUAUCGAAAUGUCCUAUCCAGGAAGUUAUUCAAUAAUCGAUAUAAAAUAAGUUUAUUAAAAUCUUGUGGGCAAAAAUAUAUUUUACUGCUAAUGAAGUUAAUGAAAUGCAUUAUGUUAAAUAAUUACGUAGCAAUGUCCAUAAUGAAAAUAGCUACAUGUUUGUUAAUGUGUAAAAAGUCUUAUGCUAAAAGAAAUAUUGGAUAUGUCGAAUUUUGUCGGUGAGAGAAGUUAGAGAAAAAUAUAGUAGUGUUUUUCAGAAUAUGAGGAUAUCUGAUAUCUGAUCAACAAGG
RNAcentral lists this long non-coding RNA (464 nucleotides) under Androctonus crassicauda. The record is from RNAcentral. Lineage: Eukaryota; Metazoa; Arthropoda; Arachnida; Scorpiones; Buthidae.